This 629-nucleotide long non-coding RNA is filed under the name Nicotiana benthamiana. Its description in RNAcentral is "long non-coding RNA (NBEN_LNC034293)". Lineage: Eukaryota; Viridiplantae; Streptophyta; Magnoliopsida; Solanales; Solanaceae. The record is from RNAcentral.
GAUGAUUUGUGUAUUGGAUUGUGUCUCCCUUAUGGUAGUUAUUUAUGGUAGUUACUGUCUGAUAUUAUUGCAUGCUAUUUUAUUUAAGGUUCUUAUGUGAAGAUAAUUAUUUACGCUAUUUCUGCUGGAAUUACUAAUGUUAUUUUGUUGUUGUUUUUGUUUUUCCUUUCCUUCACUGAGCCGAGGGUCGAUUGGAAACGGCCUCUAUGCCCUUUCGGGUAGGGGUAAGGCCCGUCUACAUAUUACCCUCCCCAGACCCCACUUUGUGGGACUAUACUGGGUUAUCUAAUCCUUUGGAAACGGCCUCUAUGCCCUUUCGGGUAGGGGUAAGGCCCGUCUACAUAUUACCCUCCCCAGACCCCACUUUGUGCGACUAUACUGGGUUGUUGUUGUUGUUGUUGUGUUGCGAUGCUUAAAUGGCCCAAAUUUUCUGUUGCUUUUUGUUUUUUUUGAAAUGAUUGUUGUUUUUAUUUUUUGCGAUUGAACUAUUAAUUUAGAGUUCCUGUGCAUGCUGAAUGUUUCACAUGAGUCAUUGACUCGACAUGCAGACAAUAUUAUGUAAAUCUUGAGCUUUAUGUCCAAUAACGCAUCGUUGCUAAUCUGGAGGUUUCAUGCCUUGGUUCCAGUUC